GCUGAGUUUAAGCAUAUCAAUAA
RNAcentral lists this ribosomal RNA (23 nucleotides) under Boehmeria clidemioides. RNAcentral's name for it is "partial 26S ribosomal RNA". Lineage: Eukaryota; Viridiplantae; Streptophyta; Magnoliopsida; Rosales; Urticaceae. The record is from RNAcentral.